GCUGGGCGUGGUGGGGCAUGCCUGUAAUUCCAUGGGCUCAGGAGGCUGAGCCAGGAGGAUUACAAGGAGCUAAACAACUUUGCAAGACUCUGUCUCUA
Molecule: small RNA, 98 nt
Filed under: Marmota monax (woodchuck)
Lineage: Eukaryota; Metazoa; Chordata; Mammalia; Rodentia; Sciuridae
Source: RNAcentral